RNAcentral lists this long non-coding RNA (279 nucleotides) under Elaeis guineensis (African oil palm). RNAcentral describes it as "long non-coding RNA (EGUI_LNC044122)". Lineage: Eukaryota; Viridiplantae; Streptophyta; Magnoliopsida; Arecales; Arecaceae. The record is from RNAcentral.
CUAGAGUCAGGUAGAAUAUUUCUUUUGCAAGAAAUUAAAGCACUAAAAGAGAACUUGUCCUCUAUAUCUAGCUUUCUUUGAUCCGAAUAGAUCAAGGAAGAAAAAUCAGUAAAAGGUUGCUAGACAAGAUACUUAUAUAAUAAUACCUUAUAAUUUUUCUAUUUGUGAUACUACUAUCUGGAUAUUGGAUAUCGAAAGUUCGAUUCAUAUCUACAAUUAGUUGCAGAGACUUCAGAUUAGUAGAAAAUUUGAGAAGAGCGAACAAUUUCUGAAUAUUGG